Molecule: non-coding RNA, 641 nt
Organism: Peromyscus maniculatus bairdii (prairie deer mouse)
Lineage: Eukaryota; Metazoa; Chordata; Mammalia; Rodentia; Cricetidae
Source: RefSeq, a predicted model, not a curated record
GAACCUCAAGGAGUCCAGAAGUAAUAACAGAUUAAUAGCACUUAGAAGGGAGCUCAGAGGAAAGAAUCAGCAUCUGUUACACCUUCUUGACUCACCUUCUGGCACAGCAAGAUGAAGUAAAACCAAGGAGUGUGGGCUGGAUAGUGCAAAGUACUGUCACUUAAGGAACCCCAGGUGCAAAAGCUGGGCUUCCCCCAGCCUCAUGCUGUCAUCCGCCCACCUCCCACAUUAGCCAAUUGACCUCUACUGUCAAGAUUUUCCUCCUAAGCCAGUGGUGAAAUCAGGGGUAUUUGCAGAUUCCUCCUGGACACUGUCCCAUUUGAAAGGACGAUGAAAGGAUUAAGGAGAAACCAACUUGAAAGGAUACCAAUAGGUUUCUGUGGAACUGCCUCUGGAAAGCACAGGGCUGUGUUUCUUCAGAAAACCCAUGGCCAUUCCCACCCUUUGUCCUUCCCUUAUUGCUACCAAUUUUCCUCCCCCACCCUCCACUCCGAACCUCCCACCCUCCACCCCUCCACCCCCUCCUUUGCUCAGAUCCACUACUUCAGAGGGCUGGUUCCAAUUGCAAGGCUAUUCCUGCACCAGUCUCUGGCAACCAGAGUGAAAGGUGCCGACAAAGAGGCCCUCUCCACAGCUCCCUU